RNAcentral lists this ribosomal RNA (1018 nucleotides) under uncultured bacterium. RNAcentral's name for it is "bacterial SSU rRNA". It matches the Rfam family "Bacterial small subunit ribosomal RNA", at positions 357 to 1376 of the family's 1533-position model. The record is from RNAcentral.
AGGAAUAUUGGUCAAUGGGCGCAAGCCUGAACCAGCCAAGUAGCGUGAGGGAAGACUGCCCUAUGGGUUGUAAACCUCUUUUGUGCGGGGAUAAAGUGUGGGACGUGUCCCAUAUUGCAGGUACCGCACGAAUAAGGACCGGCUAAUUCCGUGCCAGCAGCCGCGGUAAUACGGAAGGUCCGGGCGUUAUCCGGAUUUAUUGGGUUUAAAGGGAGCGCAGGCCGUCCUUUAAGCGUGCUGUGAAAUGCCGCGGCUCAACCGUGGCACUGCAGCGCGAACUGGAGGACUUGAGUACGCACGAGGUAGGCGGAAUUCGUGGUGUAGCGGUGAAAUGCUUAGAUAUCACGAAGAACUCCGAUUGCGAAGGCAGCUUACCGGAGCGCAACUGACGCUGAGGCUCGAAAGCGCGGGUAUCGAACAGGAUUAGAUACCCUGGUAGUCCGCGCGGUAAACGAUGGAUGCCCGCCGUUGGGUUUUAGAAUUCAGCGGCCAAGCGAAAGCGUUAAGCAUCCCACCUGGGGAGUACGCCGGCAACGGUGAAACUCAAAGGAAUUGACGGGGGCCCGCACAAGCGGAGGAACAUGUGGUUUAAUUCGAUGAUACGCGAGGAACCUUACCCGGGCUUGAAUUGCAGGAGAACGAUCCAGAGAUGGUGAGGCCCUUCGGGGCUCCUGUGAAGGUGCUGCAUGGUUGUCGUCAGCUCGUGCCGUGAGGUGUCGGCUCAAGUGCCAUAACGAGCGCAACCCCUGUCCAUAGUUGCCAUCAGGUCGUGCCGGGCACUCUGUGGAGACUGCCGCCGUAAGGUGUGAGGAAGGUGGGGAUGACGUCAAAUCAGCACGGCCCUUACGUCCGGGGCUACACACGUGUUACAAUGGGGCAUACAGCGAGUUGGAUGUGCGCAAGUACGUCCGGAUCAAUAAAGUGCCUCUCAGUUCGGACUGGGGUCUGCAACCCGACCCCACGAAGCUGGAUUCGCUAGUAAUCGCGCAUCAGCCAUGGCGCGGUGAAUACGUUCCCG